RNAcentral lists this ribosomal RNA (264 nucleotides) under uncultured bacterium. RNAcentral's name for it is "partial 16S ribosomal RNA". The record is from RNAcentral.
CUGCUGCCUCCCGUAGGAGUUUGGUCCGUGUCUCAGUACCAAUGUGGGGGUUGACCUCUCAGUCCCCCUAUGUAUCGUCGCCUUGGUGAGCCGUUACCUCACCAACUAGCUAAUACAACGCAUGUCCAUCUCUGACCACCUGAGUUUUCAACCACCGAAGAUGCCUCCGGUGAUGUUAUGGGGUAUUAGUACCAAUUUCUCGAUGUUAUCCCCCUGUCAAAGGUAGGUUACAUACGCGUUACGCACCCGUCCGCCGGUCGCCGG